Molecule: microRNA precursor, 67 nt
Filed under: Microcaecilia unicolor
Lineage: Eukaryota; Metazoa; Chordata; Amphibia; Gymnophiona; Siphonopidae
Description: Mun-Mir-132-P2_pre stem-loop
Rfam family: mir-132 microRNA precursor family
Source: RNAcentral
ACCUUGGCUCUAGACUGCUUACUGUAAAUGUCACUUAAGGAACAGUAACAGUCUACAGUCAUGGCUA